Molecule: long non-coding RNA, 741 nt
Organism: Heteronotia binoei (common prickly gecko)
Lineage: Eukaryota; Metazoa; Chordata; Lepidosauria; Squamata; Gekkonidae
Exons: 2
Source: RefSeq, a predicted model, not a curated record
AGGCCUCAUUCUCUUCUCCUGUCGCAGCAGCUGCAAGGGCUGGGAGAAGACGGCGGAAGGCAGGAGGGAAAGGGAGGAGAGGUUAGCAGGCUAAACAAUUACACGUUUGAUUCCAACGCGUCUGAUUGCCAACAUCUGCCUCUUCCCCCCGUCCCCCGCAAGGCUGCUAAUGGUUGCCGGGGGGUCAAAGGGAGCACUUAAUGGGUUGUCAAGGGGGAAAUGGUGACCUGCGCAUCCAACAGAGUGGAUCACCUUUCACGGAGCAGCGCUGCCAGCGGGCCGCUUGCUGGGGGUUGCCGACGUCCUUGCUGGAUCCAAUUAAGGCCAAUCUCCAGGAAGACGUAGGGAAAGUUAUGCAAGAAAGAGCCAGGAAACGGCCGCGGGCUGUCGCUCCAGAUUACGGUGCGCGCUUCAACCAGGAGCUGGCCAGGAUUAUCGCAGCUUGAAGAAGCUUACGCGAAACAAGGGUUCGGUAGGACCUUGUCCUUGGAAGUUUGGAUUAUUGGCUGCAUCUUUGGACAGACAUUAAUCGUCUGGAGUACUACACCAGGAUUCCAUGGAAUGUAUUGAAAAUUUUACCACAAAAGGAAAAAAGGGCUCUUGGUGUCAUUGCUUCCGGUUUGUACUAAGGACAGAAUGUUAAGGUUGCUUUGGUGUAAUUUAUGAUGGUGAAAUUUAUAUAUGAGCGUGCUAAUUUAUGUUGACUUUGUAUAAUUUAAUAAUAGAAGCUGGUUUUCACGG